CUGCACGCGUUUGAGAUAAGAAACCAACCUCCUUCUCUUGCAACUCCAAGGUUUCUCCAUCUCCCUCUAUGUUUAAUUAAUCUCUCUCACCCUAUAUCUAGUCCUGUAUUGAUUAUGAGAAAGGGUCCGUUAAUUAGGUUUUUCUGGAAAAAUUAAAGAUUUACUUUGGGGAUCUCAUUUUUCUAGGGUUUAUGAUGUGCAUAGAAUUAAUGUCGUUAUGAUUUUUAGCAGCAGCAACAACAUAACAACCUCAGAUGCUACAUUUUAUAUGAAUCAAAGGAUCCUAUGGUUGCUCAUGAAUCCAUUGCGAAACAGGUAUGUGGGAAUGAGCAAUACCAUCACCAAGUACUCAUUUACCUACAGAAUUAUGUGAGCAUAGUAAUUGGUCGGGCUGCAGAUAGAGUGGUAAAGACAUACCUCGUACCACCCAGGUGCAUUGAUGCUUACUAAUCUACUAAUGCGGUGAAGAAGGAAGAAAAUAACUAGGUUGGUCUUCGGCUGCUGCUAAUGAUACUCGUAGGAGAGUCCUAGGCUCUCUGCCCAAGGUAUAAACACAGGAAUCCCGUCAAAGCAGACAAGUCCAGUAGCUAACGGUUGCUGUUACUAAAGAUCGGUAUUGAUUAUAUAUGCAUAAUUUUUGGAAGAUACCCCAGAUCAUUCAACACGCAGAACAGAACAAUAAUAAAUCGUAGUAACUAUAUGCAUCACUUUCAUGUGGAAGUGACUGAACCAGGAAUAUUUUAGCAUUCUAGUGAUUUGUAGUGCUUGAUUGGAAUCCUAGCUAUUCUAGUUUCUUGGAUAUAACUUCCAAAGAUAUGUGAAUAUGCUGUAGAAUGCGGAAUGCCUAUAUUGUGCAAGAUUGAUUUUGGUUUAUGAUUAAUUCCCAAGGAGCAGACCGUAUAAAUUGCUUGAAACUAUUCAGUUAUCUGGCUCAACUUUUUUGGGAAGAUCUGGUGUUCAUCAAGGCGUGCUGCUGUUUCCAGUAGCCGUGAUGUGGUUGCUGGACUGAAUCUGACCCAUCUCGCCCUCGAACCACCAAAGGGGGCACUACGCAGCAAGGUAUCAGGUACACCGCAACAUAGAGCUUUGAAUGUUCUUUUCUCAGAUUCCGAGAGGACAUUCUGGUAGGAUGUUAUCUAACUCGAAGACUCAUGAGUCUACUCUGUAGGGCAUGGAGUUUUCGAAUUUCGAUAAUGAUUAGAGGUUGCAGAAUUAACUGCGCACUUUGUCAUCUCUCUCUCUCUCUCAGUCUGUCUCUUCCCUGUAAAUCAAAAACGGAUGUACUGUUAUUACGGCUGGAGUGUGUGAUCAUUAUUUCCUUCAAGUUGUAUUUCUGAGGGAAGUAGUGAUCAGGAAAGCUAGGCACUGGUUGGGAGUAAACAAGAAGAAUAUAUGUAGCUUUCCGUUGGGUGUUUUUUUUUU
Long non-coding RNA from Papaver somniferum (opium poppy), 1422 nucleotides. RefSeq lists it as uncharacterized. The transcript has 4 exons. Lineage: Eukaryota; Viridiplantae; Streptophyta; Magnoliopsida; Ranunculales; Papaveraceae. The record is from RefSeq and is a predicted model, not a curated record.